Molecule: ribosomal RNA, 332 nt
Filed under: Puma concolor (puma)
Lineage: Eukaryota; Metazoa; Chordata; Mammalia; Carnivora; Felidae
Description: partial large subunit ribosomal RNA
Rfam family: Bacterial large subunit ribosomal RNA
Source: RNAcentral
UUUACUGUCUCUUACUUCCAAUCCGUGAAAUUGACCUUCCCGUGAAGAGGCGGGAAUACAACAAUAAGACGAGAAGACCCUAUGGAGCUUUAAUUAACCGACCCAAAGAGACCCAUUAAUUUAACCGACAGGAACAACAAACCUCUAUAUGGGCCGACAAUUUAGGUUGGGGUGACCUCGGAGAACAGAACAACCUCCGAGUGAUUUAAAUCAAGACUAACCAGUCGAAAGUAUUACAUCACUUAUUGAUCCAAAAGUUUGAUCAACGGAACAAGUUACCCUAGGGAUAACAGCGCAAUCCUAUUUCAGAGUCCAUAUCGACAAUAGGGUUU